AAAAACGUAAACAACGCAACGUGAAUUCAACGUGAUCUAGUUUCCAUUAAAAAUAACAGCGCGCGCCCAAUCGUAGACCUCCCUAUUUUUAGCACAAUCUAUCCGAGAGACAAAGCGCUGCAGUGCGAGAGAGAAAGAGAGCGAGCGAGCGAGCGAGAGAGAGAGAGAGAGAGAGAGUGCGAAGAACUGAAGUUCAUGGCCAGGAUGCGUAAGCCAUGUUAGGCAGCUGCCAAUGAACUGCAAGAGCCAUUGCACAGUGGCACAAAAGCGUCAAUUGAAUUUGCAGAAUAAACUU
Drosophila navojoa is the source of this 295-nucleotide long non-coding RNA. NCBI's taxonomy places the organism in Eukaryota, Metazoa, Arthropoda, Insecta, Diptera, Drosophilidae. The record is from RefSeq and is a predicted model, not a curated record.